AUGUUCCAUACUAAAGGAUUCGGGUCCAUAACCACGAGUCCCAGUGCACUAGAUCUUGUAGCACUUAGCAACGAAGCCCUAUCCAUUAGUAUUCCACAUAAGAAAUCCAUUCUAGAAAAAAAUACAAUUAGAUUAGCUCUUCAUAGACAAACUUGGGGUUUGCGAGCCAAGGUAAGAUCGGCUCGGGAUCAUGGGACCCUUUUCUAUCAGAUAGGAGGGGCUCUUGUACAAAAUAGACUUACUAAGUAA
This 249-nucleotide ribosomal RNA is filed under the name Triticum aestivum (bread wheat). Its description in RNAcentral is "partial small subunit ribosomal RNA". Lineage: Eukaryota; Viridiplantae; Streptophyta; Magnoliopsida; Poales; Poaceae. The record is from RNAcentral.